Molecule: ribosomal RNA, 156 nt
Filed under: uncultured Cryptococcus
Lineage: Eukaryota; Fungi; Basidiomycota; Tremellomycetes
Description: 5.8S ribosomal RNA
Rfam family: 5.8S ribosomal RNA
About the family: 5.8S ribosomal RNA (5.8S rRNA) is a component of the large subunit of the eukaryotic ribosome.
Source: RNAcentral
AAACUUUUAACAACGGAUCUCUUGGCUCUCGCAUCAAUGAAGAACGCAGCGAAAUGCGAUAAGUAAUGUGAAUUGCAGAAUUCAGUGAAUCAUCGAAUCUUUGAACGCACCUUGCGCCCUUUGGUAUUCCGAAGGGCAUGCCUGUUUGAGUGUCAU